RNAcentral lists this ribosomal RNA (497 nucleotides) under uncultured bacterium. Its description in RNAcentral is "partial 16S ribosomal RNA". It matches the Rfam family "Bacterial small subunit ribosomal RNA", at positions 28 to 507 of the family's 1533-position model. The record is from RNAcentral.
GAUGAACGCUGGCGGCGUGCCUAAUACAUGCAAGUCGAGCGAACAGACGAGAAGCUUGCUCCUCUGACGUUAGCGGCGGACGGGUGAGUAACACGUGGAUAACCUACCUAUAAGACUGGGAUAACUUCGGGAAACCGUAGCUAAUACCGGAUAAUAUUUUGAACCGCAUGGUUCAAUAGUGAAAGACGGUCUUGCUGUCACUUAUAGAUGGAUCCGCGCCGCAUUAGCUAGUUGGUAAGGUAACGGCUUACCAAGGCAACGAUGCAUAGCCGACCUGAGAGGGUGAUCGGCCACACUGGAACUGAGACACGGUCCAGACUCCUACGGGAGGCAGCAGUAGGGAAUCUUCCGCAAUGGGCGAAAGCCUGACGGAGCAACGCCGCGUGAGUGAUGAAGGUCUUCGGAUCGUAAAACUCUGUUAUUAGGGAAGAACAUAUGUGUAAGUAACUAUGCACGUCUUGACGGUACCUAAUCAGAAAGCCACGGCUAACUACGUG